Gasterosteus aculeatus aculeatus (three-spined stickleback) is the source of this 312-nucleotide long non-coding RNA. The record is from Ensembl. Lineage: Eukaryota; Metazoa; Chordata; Actinopteri; Perciformes; Gasterosteidae.
CGAUAACAAACCAGUACAGCGCGGGUUAUGUCCAACUUUGUGCUUUUAUUGACUUAAUUUCCAACAGUUUGUAUUAAUUGCUGAGCCAGUGACCUCGCUGGCUGGAAGAGGACUCCUACAGGAUCAUCUGUCAAUCAGAAACUGCACAUGACGCACAGAGGAAUGAGAUAUUCAUGCCCGAUCAACGAAAUUGAUGCAUCACUGCCCUGCUAACCAAAUGUGAGGUUAUUCGAAGCUGCAGCAGCAGGCAAAAUCUUGUCUGAACUGAAAAUGUCUGAUACCAUAGUCGCCCUGUCCAACCACCAAGUUAAG